This 253-nucleotide ribosomal RNA is filed under the name uncultured bacterium. RNAcentral's name for it is "partial 16S ribosomal RNA". It matches the Rfam family "Bacterial small subunit ribosomal RNA", at positions 524 to 776 of the family's 1533-position model. The record is from RNAcentral.
UACGUAGGGCGCAAGCGUUGUCCGGAAUUAUUGGGCGUAAAGAGCUCGUAGGCGGUCUGUCGCGUCGGAUGUGAAAGCCCGGGGCUUAACCCCGGGUCUGCAUUCGAUACGGGCAGACUAGAGUGUGGUAGGGGAGAUCGGAAUUCCUGGUGUAGCGGUGAAAUGCGCAUAUAUCAGGAGGAACACCGGUGGCGAAGGCGGAUCUCUGGGCCAUUACUGACGCUGAGGAGCGAAAGCGUGGGGAGCGAACAGG